RNAcentral lists this non-coding RNA (22 nucleotides) under Arabidopsis thaliana (thale cress). Lineage: Eukaryota; Viridiplantae; Streptophyta; Magnoliopsida; Brassicales; Brassicaceae. The record is from RNAcentral.
CCAGCUGAUAAGGUGGCUGCAC